This 66-nucleotide transfer RNA is filed under the name Dielis tejensis. Its description in RNAcentral is "tRNA-Ser". The record is from RNAcentral. Lineage: Eukaryota; Metazoa; Arthropoda; Insecta; Hymenoptera; Scoliidae.
AUUAGAGGUAAAUUAAAAGUUAAUUACUAAUUAACUAAGUAAUAUUUUAUAUUAAUAUCUUUAAUA